AGCAGCCGCGGUAAUUCCAGCUCCAAUAGCGUAUAUUAAAGUUGUUGCAGUUAAAAAGCUCGUAGUUGAAUUUCGGGGUUCUACCGUUGGUCGGGCUUUGUCUGUACUGGCGUGUAGAAUUUCUACCUUCUGGGGAACCAUCAUGUUAUUAAUUUAACGUGGUGGGAAACCAGGACCUUUACCUUGAAAAAAUUAGAGUGUUCAAAGCAGGCUUAUGUCUGAAUACAUUAGCAUGGAAUAAUAAAAUAGGACGGUGGUCCUGUUUUGUUGGUUUCUGAAUCACCGUAAUGAUUAAUAGGGAUAGUUGGGGGCAUUAGUAUUCAAUUGUCAGAGGUGAAAUUCUUGGAUUUAUUGAAGACUAACUUCUGCGAAAGCAUUUGCCAAGGAUGUUUUCAUUAAUCAAGAACGAAAGUUAGGGGAUCGAAGACGAUCAGAUACCGUCGUAGUCUUAACCAUAAACUAUGCCGACUAGGGAUCGGACGAUGUUAAUUUUUCUUGACUCG
This 503-nucleotide ribosomal RNA is filed under the name Racocetra castanea. RNAcentral describes it as "SSU rRNA". It matches the Rfam family "Eukaryotic small subunit ribosomal RNA", at positions 569 to 1078 of the family's 1831-position model. Lineage: Eukaryota; Fungi; Glomeromycota; Glomeromycetes; Diversisporales; Gigasporaceae. The record is from RNAcentral.